Molecule: ribosomal RNA, 484 nt
Filed under: uncultured bacterium
Lineage: Bacteria
Description: partial 16S ribosomal RNA
Rfam family: Bacterial small subunit ribosomal RNA
Source: RNAcentral
AUUGAACGCUGGCGGCAGGCCUAACACAUGCAAGUCGAGCGGAUGAAGGGAGCUUGCUCCUGGAUUCAGCGGCGGACGGGUGAGUAAUGCCUAGGAAUCUGCCUGGUAGUGGGGGAUAACGUCCGGAAACGGGCGCUAAUACCGCAUACGUCCUGCGGGAGAAAGUGGGGGAUCUUCGGACCUCACGCUAUCAGAUGAGCCUAGGUGGGAUUAGCUAGUUGGUGGGGUAAAGGCCUACCAAGGCGACGAUCCGUAGCUGGUCUGUGAGGAUGAUCAGUCACACUAGAACUGAGACACGCGCCAGAGUCCUGCGGGAGGGACCAGAGGGGAAUAUUGGGCAAUAGGGGGAAGCCUGAUACAGCGAGGCCGCGUGUGUGAAGAAGGUCUUCGGAUUGUAAAGCACUUUAAGUUGGGAGGAAGGGCAGUAAGUUAAUACCUUGCUGUUUUGACGGUACCAACAGAAUAAGCACCGGCUAACUUCGUG